RNAcentral lists this ribosomal RNA (253 nucleotides) under uncultured bacterium. RNAcentral describes it as "partial 16S ribosomal RNA". It matches the Rfam family "Bacterial small subunit ribosomal RNA", at positions 524 to 776 of the family's 1533-position model. The record is from RNAcentral.
UACGGAGGGUGCAAACGUUGCUCGGAAUUACUGGGCGUAAAGCGUGCGCAGGCGGUUCGUUGUGUCGGCGGUGAAAGCCCCGGGCUCAACCUGGGAAUGGCCGUUGAAACUGGCGAACUGGAGUGUGGCAGAGGGGGGUGGAAUUCCGCGUGUAGCAGUGAAAUGCGUAGAGAUGCGGAGGAACACCGAUGGCGAAGGCAGCCCCCUGGGCUAACACUGACGCUCAGGCACGAAAGCGUGGGGAGCAAACAGG